RNAcentral lists this long non-coding RNA (12791 nucleotides) under Zea mays. RNAcentral describes it as "long non-coding RNA (ZMAY_LNC000133)". Lineage: Eukaryota; Viridiplantae; Streptophyta; Magnoliopsida; Poales; Poaceae. The record is from RNAcentral.
UACUUCUCCCGAAUAUCCAACUGACUUAUUAAUUUCUUAUAACGUACUCUAUUUUUCUUUGCCAAAUAAGCCAGCAAACGUUGACGUUUUCCCAAAAGUCUUCGUAGACCUCUUUCCGAUGAAAAAUCUUUUUUGUGUAAUUCUAAAUGUGAAGCAAGUCUCCGUAUCUUAUUGGUGAAACUGAAUACUUGAAAUUCAACAGAACCCCUGUUUUCUUGUUUUUCUUCUUUAACCAUAAAUCAACAAAUUUUUCUACCUCCUUUCUUUUUCAUGUAUUUUUCUGAUCAGGAAAAAUAAAAAAUUAUGUCAGUUAUUUUUAAGUUAUUCUAAUCUCGUACACACAAAAAUUUGCAAUUAUUCAUCUACUGCUGGAAUCUGGAAUUUGGAUUUAUUUUAUCGAUGCAAAUUGGAUUUGGAUAGAAGGGUACAUUCUUUUAUUUUAGAUAGAAGAAACAUUUCUUCUAUCUAAAAUAAAAGAAUUUUGCUGAUUUAUUUAUUGCUAUAUCCAAUUUAUAGAAUUGAUAUACCAUUUAAUUGAUAUCAUUUAGCAAAAUGAAACACAACAUAUGCAUCCAUCUUUGGGCUCGAGAAUUUCACGGGAUAGAGAUAUAGUAUAAGAAAUAGGCUAUUAAGUAACUCUAAAUGAAUUGUGGAUACAUCUGUAUCCUUAACAUACUGAAACGACUGCCAUUAUUCGUAUCAAACCAAUAGCGAUUCAUAAAAGCUAAAUCUUGUAAUCAAUGGUGGGCCAAUAAUGAAUUUUUUUGCAUAUGUAUUAAGACGCUUGGUCUGAUUUCGAAAUUGUCCAGAGUUUUUUAUGUUGUUUUCAUUGCAAAAUGAUGGAUCUCCUUCCGUAACUUUCCAAUUACGAGUACGAGAAUUGAAAGAUAGAACACUCAUAUCGAUAAAAUAGUUUGAACUAUUUACUAGAAGGGCACGCAGCCCUUUUUCCAAUGCCAAAUCGACGACCUAUGUAUAAAAAAAAGAGAAAUUUUUUGGAUUUGAAGAAAAAAUAAAAGGAAUUCUAUCAAUUUUUAUUUUCCAUUUAUUUAGUUUGUUUUUCUUAAUGAAAUUGAAAUUAUUAACUAACAGAGCAAACACAAAUAAAGAUAACUUUCCAAUUACGAGUACGAGAAUUGAAAGACAUGAAAAUUCUCAAUUCUCUACGGCGUCUAGGAGAUGGAUCGAAUAUUUUCAGGAACAAGAAAAUCAGAAGAAUCUUUUUCUCUAUUCACUACCAUUCCGCGUCUUCGACUUCUAUUAGUUUCUUUUCUUCUUUAAUGCAAUAGCUAUAGUUUGAUAUAGAAUCCAUUUCUCAAAGUAAUGGAAACCAUUCUCAAGAGGUGUGGUGGGACUGUGGGAGGGUUUAAACGCAAAAACAGCAGACAACGUUGGAUUCAGAUUGGAUGGUUUGGAUGGACUGAUGGUAUGCUUGCACAAGAUAACGGAUUGCACAGGAUAUGACCCCUUAGAUAAUUUUAAAAUGACGCAAUACGACCGUUGAAACUGAUGAUUUAAAUAUAUAGUAGAGACUAGGAGAGUGCCCGUGCGUUGCAACGGGAACGUAUAAAACCACGAUAAACUAUGUACAAAUGUGUGUUAUACUUUUAUAGGUUAGUGCUCGUGCGUUGCAACGGAGACAUAUAAUAUAUCGAUAUCUUAUAUAUGCAUGUGUGUUAUAUAUACAAAAUGUGUCUUAUAUUGUUAUAGUAAGAUGCUCGUCCUAACGAUACUACGAACCUAAGGCUGCCUCCAAUGGAGCAGCUAAAAGGGUAUGCAAAGCUAUUAUGGCUACUCAUAUUCACUGUAGCACCAUGCAUCUUCCAUCCAACAGAGUAGCCAAACAGAGCAGCCAAAUUCCAUGGCAGGUGAGAGAAAAGCUAUUAUGGCUGGGCAGGAACUGAGCAGGCAUCUCUGAUGCAAAUUGGUGGGCCAUUCUUAUCAGUGAGCAUGAGGCAAGCUAUUUUUGCUAUACCAUUGAAAAGUGUUAUAUUAUAGAUGGACAGCUAAAACAUCUACGUCAGCCAACAUGUUGAAUGCCUGCUUCUUUUAGCUGCCGCAUGUUGGAGGCAGCCUAAAAGGCAAUAAAAUUAAUUAGUGGGUCCUGGCAGGCCACCCAGGUUGUUACGGGUCCGGAGGAUUCGCAGCCACGAGCUCCGAGCAUGCAGGCAUCAGAACCGGUCUUCGGUUGAAGGGGAGGAGGAGAGGGAUGACAGAUGAGCCCUACCAGGCAUUGAGCGCGCGGUCGGCUGUCAAGUGGUCCCAAGUGGUCAGGGCGCGAGCUGAUUUGCGGACACGCGGGCUUGCGCGGUUGCUAGGCUGGGCCACGAUGACAACACGUGUAGCGUGAGGAUGGGCCGCGCGGUUGUACAAGGGAGGUGGGCCGGAAUGGGGAUAAUCGGCCCAGGCAGGGUUUCUUUCUUAUUAUUUUCUUUUCUUUUCUUUUCUUUUUCUAUUAUCCUAUUUCUUUCCUUUCCAUUUCAAAUCCAAAAUUUGAAUUCUAUAGUGACGGCAAAAUAUGUGAUCUGUUUUCUGUAUAUUGCGAGAAGCACUUUCAUGAAGACCUGGAGGAAGUGAGAAGAAACUGGGGAAUUCUACCAUGCCCUAGUCCCAAAUAGAACAGUGUAUAUAUUAGUCCCAAAUAGAACAGUGUAUAUAUAGACAGGCACAUUCUACAUGAACAGUUCUGCAUCAUGUAAUGUCAAUAAACUUUUGAUUAUCUGGCAAACGUGGCAUUAAAAAAAGAUGGAAAUGCGGCACAACUUUGCUCAUGCUGGUUCAUCAAAUUUACACAGAACUCUUCUUGCCGAGGACAUGGCCUCCCUCAAAAGAAUUACACUAUUGUAAGUAUGUGUAACACGCGAAAAGAACACAAUAAUUACAUGGCUCAAAACUUACAACACAACACAAGGUAGUGUGUACUACCCAACACGGUAUAAAAUUAUGAAGCAGCAGUAGUGCACAAGACACAGCGCAUGCGAGACUGGCCUGAUGGGGAACCAUCCUCAUCGUACAUGCCUCCGUCACUAUCCUGACCACUGUUUGAUCUCAUCGAGUCUAAGCCACCUUCAAGGCAAGACAGAUGAUACGCAUGGCAGCAGUAGAACACGAUGACAGAUAUGUCCUGGAUAGGCAAAGGAUCGAAGCACAAACAACACCGGGCACCACAUCUUGUUCUGGACUUGAUAUCUAGAGCCCGGACGCUAGAUGAUCUCUCGUGUCCCCGCGAUGAUCCAUCGUCAGCUCUGUUUCCGUGUACCUCCUCGUCCAUGCUUACCAUGUAUACCCCACGCCGAGCCUCGUGGUAGUAUUUAACCAAAAGGUUAACACAGUCAGCUUGAACAAAGCAAGUUUCGGAUGAAAAUGUCCAAAAUUCGAGAUGGUUGAGGCAUGGAGCAGCACAGUAUACGAAAGAAAGUAAACCUUAAGUAUAUCGUUGCAUCCAUUUCACAAUGAAGUUUCUGUCCGGUAAUCCGUCACAAUUUUCACAAGACGAUCCUGCAACCUAUCAAAAGCAUGAGUGAACACUCAACCAGGGGAUGAAAUGGUUGGAUUAAGAAUCAUGGCAGAUCGUUUUGAGUAUAUUUGCCAAGGUUUCAGUCAUGCAAGAAAUUCUGUAGCUCAGUUCUUUUAUGAUAAAUUUUGAUGGAACAUACCGAGGUAUUUCUAAGCCAUCAGGAACCAAACUGACAAUGUACAGAGGAUCAAGAUUGCCAACUGUAUGUUCCAAUAGAUUCCCUACCUGCCCAACAGACAUAGAAAUUGAACUAAGAAACAGAAGAUGCCUCAGUCUAAGCAAGAUUAAGCAUCAUUUAUUUCAGUUACCAUUUCAGGCUUCUGGAGGCAUUGUCUAAUCAGUUCCUCCCACAGUUCAUCAUCAUGCUGUUCCGUAACAAAUUCAACAGCCUGUAUGCAUAUUCAAGAUGCAUGUUACUGUUCAAUCCCAUAUAUCAAGUUGGCUAAUAUAGAACAACAUGUCUCAGAAAUGGUAAUAUAAUUGGUAGGCAAGUUAGAACCUCCUGCAUGUCUUCCAGUUUGUUUAUAAUUGUCGACAGAGCUUCCUUAGCAUUGCCCAUUCGACCAAGGACAAAACUUGCUCCCUUACAAGUUCUUUUUGUGCAAAGAUUUCAUAUGCCUGAAUAACAAUAACAAAUUAUCAAGCCUAUGAUUAACUAAAUAGAAAAUUUUAUGAUGUGAUUCUUUGGGGAAACUAUGACCUUGUCAAGCCUGUAAUGCUGACUGGUUAGAAGGAAGGGUAGUAGCAUCCUUGUCUCGUAGUCUGCAUAAAGCUCCACCUAUAAUGCAAACAGUUUUGACUUGCAAGUUAUUGUCAAAACACAAAGUAGAUGUAAAAAAUAAUUGGGGAAAUGGACAUGACAAUGGAAGGCAGAAAAGAUACCUGCAUAUCAUGAAAAUCCUUUCCAGCGUGUAUAUCUAUCUCAAAUAAAGCAUGCAAAUACAGGUGUAACAAAUAUCUCUUGUCACAUUUUUUACUGGUAUGCAACAGCUGCUCCACAACUUCAUAUGGGAGAAUGAUAUCACGAUGUUGGGUCCGUAGGUGAACUGUUCUUUUAUUGUCCACUAUCAUAAGAUUGACAAUCUGAAGAAUAUUAAAAAAAGUGUUUAAGUCAAGGAUAUGGAAUGCUUUUUCUAAAACGUACCACUGUAGAAUGUAACUUUGUAUUAGCAGCUAAAUUGGACUCCUCCAUUUUGAUACCUUAUCAUGAAUAGCAUCAUACAUGUUGUAUUUCUCAAUAAACUCGAAUACUUCUGGCUUCAGGAGCUGAACCAAAUGGGUUUAAUUAGAAAGAAUUUGACAAUAAAAAUGUAUAUUUUGAUAUGUGCCUACAAAUACAACUUUAGGAUGUACUUACUUCAGCAUAAAGAGAAAGUGCCUUUUCGUAUUGACCAUUGAUCACAUACAAUUCAGCUAAUGACUACAUGGCACAUAAGGCAGAUAUCAACCAAAGAGGGAAAGAAUAUGAAGUGUAAAUAUAUGUUUUACAUUCAUUAAAUGAUGUCCCUCCCCACCUCUUCAAUGAAUCAGCCAUCGAUGAGGAGUUUAGCUGUGGCUCAAUGGCAGAUAUGACCGGUGAGGCUGAGUAUAAUGUCGGUGGCUUUCCGCUAGCUAGCAGAACACGUGACAUGGUCAACCCUCAACAUAUAAUUCAUCUGAUUAUCAGGCUAUUACUAUAAUAAGGUUGAUGCUGUCAACUGCAAAACCUCAUAGAUUUGUAGAGUCACUAAAGCUUAUAAUAAAAAUAUUCUACAAAGGCGAGGUGGACGACUGAUCAAGGCAAGGACACCGAGGCAGGGCUGAUCUACAACGCAGACUACAACAGCAUGGCGAUGCACGCUAGCUCUCACCAACGAUGAAGCCCAAGCCCAAUCACCCCACCAUAAAUAGACCUCGCUAUUUGUAAUGUUUCUCUAGUUUCGUUUGAGCUACAACCAAAAUCUAAGAGGGUGGCAACUGAUCAACAUGCUGCUGUACGUUGACAUUGUAAUGCAUAGCUCUUCAGCUUUUAGAAUGUGACUGUCUAUUUAUGAAUAAUGUUUUCUUCAUGAACUGGUUGUAUACAUGUAGCAAGUUUGCCUCAUUUGAGGAGUUAAUUUAAGCGAUUAUCUAUUUUGUUGUCAAUAUCAGUACCUUGUGAUUGAUGAAAUUUGAAAGUGUUUAGCUAUAUUAAAUGCAACUCAUAAGGAUGACAGUGGAUUGAAAGAUAAGGAUCAGAAAUUAUUGUUUGAAGAUGAGAUAUCUGAGGAUGAACAAGCUGAACAGGCUACUCCACAACAGGAAUUGUGUGUUAUGCCAACAGAUCCUAGUGACUUGCAGAUAUAUUUUUAUUAUAUGUGCCUUAGUCUGAAGGCAUGAAUAAUACAAGUUACUAAAAAUGUCAUUUAGGUCAAGUCAAUUAUGUAUUCAUGAUCCACAUACAAGGAAUCAUUAAAUAUAAGAACAUAUUCUCUACAAAUAUCAAUCAUGAUCCUAUCACACAUUUUACUAUUCUUUUAAAUGACUCGGAUGAAAUGAUUAACUGAAGUCUAGAAAAACCAUAACAGAAAUAUGCAUCAUCCAUUGAAAAAGCACAACAUUUACAUAUAAUUACCUUUCGAAGCCUCCCAAAAAUGAUUUGAUGAAGAAACUUAAGCUCGACAAGUAUUUUAUUUGAUAUUCUCUUCGCAACUGCAAACAUUUUCAGGUCUGAAUCAUCAGAGUAUAUAAUAAUAAACACUUGCAUCCAGAAUUGAAGUUGUGAGUUAUUGAACUGUAGAAAAAGGAUGUGUAUUUUUGAAAGGCUUCUUCCAGUUCAAGAUAAUUUGUCCAGUUUACUGGAAUGUUUUGUUUGAACAUAGCCCUCUUAAUCAAAGAAGCAUAUAAUCAGACUAACAAGUUGUCUUAUUUUUACUGGUGGAACACACAAAGUGAUAGACAUUGUUCUUUGUUCAAACUGCUUCCAUAAUGCAAAAUUUAGUACUGGGCAUUCAAGCUUAGAUUUUCAGAGAGUGGAUGGGAUGAAAGAUGGAUCUAGAAAAAAAUGAUGAUAAAUAUCAUAUAUUGUAGUUCAGAUGAAAAUAUAAGUCUUAGAAAGAGAUCACACAACAUGAAAUAAUUAUGCCUAUUUAGACAUUGAUAUUUUUUAUUUUUAGGUUGCAUAAUAAUUGGAGAUGUGUACCAAUGGAUGUUAGUACUCUUUUCAUCUGAAUAUCGACAUGCAAAUGCAUUAAGAUUUGAGAAUAGUUUCCAUCUGAUGAACUCAAUUCAUUUCUAGCAGACUAUCCACUCUGAUAUUGCUAAAACAGUUGUAUACUGUUAUGAUAUGAGCUAGCUCCAUAAAAUUGUAUAUAUUUAAAUGGCAAUGAAUAGGUAUAAGAGUAAUCAAUCACUAACAAAGACAUGGUUUACCUUUUUCUUAAGAUGAUUAGACAAAUUAUAUUGUGUACUGCUAGGUUAGAACUCAAUAGCACAAUACAGAAACAAAAUGAAAUGAAAUGUCUUAUGGUCAAAACUCACCCCUCAGAUAUGCUCCAAGCUAUAAAUGUUAUCAACACAUAUGGACUGCUCUGAACCUGCAAUUUCCAAAUGUUAACUAAAACUUAAUAGCCAGGAUUGAAAUCACCAAGAAGCAAAACACAACAACAUUACAUAAACCCUAGCAAAAAGCAUCUUCUAUAUAUGUGCACAAGAGGAAUCCCUCUGAUGGCAAAAUAUAGCUUAGGCAAAAUACAACUUAGGUAAGGGUAGUUUCUCUUUUUCAAUGACCAUUUCAGUACGUAACCAAUGUUUUAUUUUCAAAAUAUAUUCAGAAUAUCAAAAAUAGACCAUAGAUGUGCAAAAAAGAUAUUCUUGUGUACCUAUAUCUGAUUGGUUGAAUGCUUGAUUUGAUUGAAUAAUACUACUUUUUUAUGGUAGGCGUUUCAGAAAUGAGCUUACUCAAGCUAUAUUAAAAGUGACCAUAACAUUAGGUAAGACAUGAUUUUGACUGUGAGCAGGUAGGGGUGCUGCUUCUAAUAGUUGUCAUCAAGCAAAUUUUGAUUUGGCUCCACAACAUAGGUGCAUAAUGAUUCUUUGUGCAAAUAUGAACCGUAAAACACAAACAACAAAAAUCAGAUAUAAACAAAUUGGGUCAAAAAAACAGUGCCAACUACUCCAUUAUGUUUUAUUUGUUGACAUUUUUAUGGUCUUCUAGGUGGACUAUCAAUAUUUAUAUAAUAAGGGUAUACUAUAAUCAUAAUUUAUCUAGAGUCAAUUGGCUGAAGGUAGACCUAUAAUAACACUGCAAUCAAAGGGAUAACACUGGGUAUGAAAUCAUAAUACGAGGACAAUGCAUACGUCUACGACGGUUACUGGAAGGAAAAGAUCCCAAACAUUUGUAAUAUAUGCAGGUUAUGCAGAGUAACAUACAAUAAUUUAUUGGAAAAUAAUUCUAAAACAACAAACAUGCCAUUGCCUGCUAGGACUACCAAAUGGGACUUACAUUUACUUCAAAUUGUUAGGCCUCAAGUUUGUUGGAGCUGUAAACAGAACAAGGGGAGGGAAGCUACAUAUAUUACAAAUGUUUGUCAGAAACGAGGAAACAACCAAACAGUAGUGGAGCUGAUUGAAUCCAUUUACCUCUGCUUCUAAAGGCUUCCCAGUUGCUUCCCAAUGUAAUCACAGAACCUUAGAUCAUAUCAUAGCAAGAAGCAUGGUUCAGCUCAACUAUGAGGCCAUCCAUCUACAUUCCAAAUUGCAAUCAAUGACAGGAAACAGAACACAAGAAGACCAGCAACCAGGAAAGAUCUUGGGCCAAAAAGGCACAAGUGCAAUUGUAAGGAAGGGAAAAUAGCGCAGCAUCCAUGAACUAAACCCAAUCAGAUAUUCAUAUGAGAUGGAAUUGAGCGGGGGCGACGACCGAAUUAAAGUUACAAGGCAAAAACUAAAGGGAGGAGGAAGAGCGGUUGCACCUGUAGUAGCGAGUUGUGGCCGAGGGAUAGCUUCUCCUUGACGUGCUGCAUGCGGAGGUCACCGCUACAGGUAGGGGUGGAAACGAGCCGAGCCGAGCUCGGCUCGGCUCGGCUCGCUGCGGCUCGCUCAUGUAACGAGCCGAGCUCGGCUCGGCUCGCCUAUCUCACGAGCUCGAAAAAGCGGCUCGGCUCGGCUCGCUCCUGGCUCGCGAGCCGGCUCGCCGAGCCAACGAGCCUAGGCAUAAAAUUAAAUCUGCUCUCUAAAUUAUAAUAUAAAAUCUUAAAAAUAUUUUAAAUAACAUAUUUUAAAUUAGUAAAAUAGAUAUAUCACUAAUAUAAUAUAUAAAAUAGAUUAUUUUUGUAUAGUACUCUCAAAUAACAUAAAUUAAUUAUCUACUCGGUAUUAAUAUUAUAUGCUAAUUAAGAUUUUAUAUAACAAAUUGUUGUUGGGUCGAGCCACGAGCCAGCUCGCGAGCUGUACCGAGCCGAGCCGAGCUGGCUCGCUCUUUUCACGAGCCAGAAAAACAGGCUCGGCUCGGGCUCGUUCGGAGCGUCGAGUCGGUCCGAGUCGAGCCGAGCUACUACGAGCCCGAGCCAGCUCGUCGAGCUCGAGCUUUUUUUCCAGCCCUAGCUACAGGCAGUGCACUUUUUUCAGCUAAGGAAGAUUGGGCACACAAUUUCACAUAUAUGACAUAUCAUCAAAUUUGGAACUGUCAUGGAUGACACGAAUUUAUAAGCACCCCCUAGUUCUUUGGGUAUUCUCUUGCACCAAAUAUGGUUGACCCAACUCUUACAUUUGUGCUUCCCAUUUCAAUCUGCAGGCACAUAGAAAACAAUGUAUGUCUAUAUUAACGUAGCUAUCAGCCUACCAUGCCUCUUCAACACUCAUAUAUCACAGUAUUUCCCUUACUGUUUGUUCAAAGUCAGAUGACAUGUCCACAAAUAGUUCGAGCUGCUCUUCCGGUAUUCCAAGCUCCUUGCACACAUCUUCCCGACAGUUGGCUAGUGCCUAUGAAUUUAACAUACAUAAUACACGUUAGUGCACAUAUACAUGCCAUAUUGCCACUUCGAUAGAACUUCUAUAACCCAGAGUUAUACAUUACCUUGAAAUUCUUCGGAGUUGAGGAGUAAUCAAGCAUCCCAAUUAUCAUCAAACCAGACAACACAAGGUUAGGGUUGUUCAAUCUGACAUGCUUUGCUAGUUCGACACAUCCUGAGGGAUCUACUCCAAUUUUCGCUGCAGUUAAAAAAAUAGUAUUCAGAAGUAUGUUAUGAGAAACAUAUAAUGCACGUGACUGAUCACCAAGAACAGUUAGCAUCAUUGUGUCAGAAAAUCUGCAGCAUCAGAGAAACCAAAAUGGGGACUAACUGAAUGGCCUACAAGCAUGUGUGGAAGUAGUUUAAAUUAUCCAUUAAAAAUAGGAAUGGUCCUGUUGCAACAACGAAGACACAUUAUUGAUCAUUAUUUUAUAAUUAUUUUAUCACCAUGGCAAAAAUAGAUAUGGCAUAUGCUAUGAGUUAGAGACAUACCUUUUGUUAUUGUCAUCUCAAUCUAGUCGGCUUAAAUAAGUUGAUCCAUAAGCUAGAUUAUAUAAUCCUGUAAGGAAAUAAACAGGGCCUUACAAUGUCAUGCUUGUGUUUAUGUACACGUGCUAGCUAGUUAUCUAAGGCUAGAUUUCACCUGCACAAUAUCAUGACGAGGAACCCUCGGAAGUGGUUCAACUUUGUAUCCCUUGGCUGACAUGACUUCCGCAAUGAGCAAACCUCCCUGUGGAUCAUAUUAUAUCAUCAAGUGCAUGCAUUGUAUCUCCACCCAUUUGCAGUUAGCAAACCUACUUUUACUGCUUCUCCAACCAUUUGCGGACCAAGAAACAGGCCUUGAAACAGCGCACGCAUAACAUGGCCAGGUGUUGACCCAAAUUCCACCCCAAGGCCAGGUGCAGAUAGACGGGCUGCAGCUGCUUCGACUAAAUGCUCCUUCCCAGCAACAUAACCACCACAAGGCGCAAUAGUUCCACCUGGAUUCUUUAUCAAACUUCCAGCAAUCAAGUCUGCUCCCUGCCAUGAAACACGAGAUGAAAAAGGAAUCGUCUUCAGGAGGAAGUGAAAAUCAUGGACAUACCACCAUUGCAGGUUCCGAUAUCUCAACAAAUUCACCAUAGCAAUUAUCAACCAUCACCAUGCAGUUUGGAUUUUGCAUCUGCAAUGAUAUCAAAACCAGAAAAAAAUUGUCACCACAGAGAAAAGCUACUAUAGAUACAGAAGGUUGAUGGUCACAAAACACAACAAUCUUGCCUUGAUCAAACCUAUAGCUUUGUGAAUAUCUGCUACACUUAAGCUCUUGCGCCACGAAUAUCCACACGAUCUCUGUAUGAAGGCACACCCAGUUUCCGGCCUGAUGGAGCAAGCAAGAGCAUCCCAAUCAAGGCCACCAUCUGCUACAAGCUAUAACUUUAGUCUCAUCAGUAACCAUCCACACUUCCACAGGCUACAGCACAUGGCGACACACAGUAGGCACUACAGGGUAGUGAAGAGAGAAAUUGACGCACCGGAACUUCUCGGUACGUCACUCCGAAAUCCUUGAGUGACCCUACAUUGGCCGACCCCCUGAUCCCAAUCACCUCCUCCAAAGUGUCGUACGGGGGCCCAGCGACUGCCAGGAGCUGCAGGAAUCCAACAUUAAUCAGUCUCAACUCUCAAAUGUCACUGCCAAGAAUAGUUCAUUCAGUUCAUCCUAUCCCUACCUCAUGCCCAGGCCUCAGAAGCGCAAACAACGCACAGGCAAUGGCGUGGGUACCGGAGAAGAACUGGCAGCAGUGGAGCAAUUAGUUGAUUGAUUCAUCAAAGAGGAGAGGAGCUCGGUUACACAGUACUGUAACCAUAAAAAACGAGAUUGUGUUGUGUGCGGAGGUGGGACCUGCGGGCGCACAAUGGCAGCCUCCGCGCCAACAAUGUCGGCGAAGACGGAGUCCAACGCUUCCCGGCCGCCACCGUCGUCGUGGUCGUACCCCGUGGACCCACCGAAAUGCUGAAACAAACACACGCCACAAACGUGACUCUGUGUUCACCUGCGGUGUGAGCUCAGAUGCCAAGCAGAGGACCAGGGUGAAACGAAGGGGAGCUCGGAUGCCAAGCUUAAUCAAUAUGCUCAACACAGCUAGCACGCAAAUUGCAAACAUGUAAGAACAUCUAUAGACAGCUCUACAAAGACAGAUAUCGUUUUCAUUAAGAACUCAUGAAGUCACAAACUUAGUAAAUUACCAUUCAUUAAAACUGAGGUAGUUCAAAAGUUCAUAAUAAACAUGAUCGACAGCUGUAUAGACAACAUCCUUCAAAAGCAUUCCAGCAGUAACAUAUGUUUCUUAUGGUGGAGAAACAGACAUAGCUUCACGAAGAACAAAAACAAUUGGAGCUAAAAGCUAAACUGACACAUGAUAAUUUGAGCAUUAAAGCAUUCAAUAGACUCACAACCACGAUGAAAAAAGGCUUCAACACAUGGCCGUUUUGUCUCGGUCCACUGAACCAAAUUCUGCUCGUGGCGAAAGGAAUCAUGAUUUUCUGACCACUCUUCCAAAUCCUUUACUGUGUACAUGAAGUAUCUACAAAAUAAUUGCAGCCUUCUAAGGUACUUGAAGGAUAAAAAAUCUUAAAUAAAAAGAUAAAUAAGAUACAAAUGAACAAAACAUCAUGUGUGUGGAACCGCAGAUGUAAUAUGAAAACCAGGAAAAUUACAAAAUAUUCAAUGUCGCUCGUUCUACUGGUAAGACACAAAUGGAUUUAUUAAGCAUGGCAUGGUUCAUUAGACACCAAGCUGGACACAAGAAAACCGAGAAGGGACUAUCACAUAACUUUUGCACGGGUUUGAUCAGUCUCAGCCAAGUUUACUAUCUAUGUUUAUUGGUUAAAUUGAACUAAAAUUGCCACACAUGUUAUGUACAGAUUCACGGAUCAAUCACAUGAAGGGAAAGUGCGCUAGAAAGAUAUGCAUGUUUCCCGUUAACAAAGUCACCCACAAACUAAACAGAGAUAGUAAACUUGCCUCAAUGCUCAACUAUUCUAUAAUCUAUUUUUUUACUCAGCUAUAUCCCCACCAGAAAAGAAUUCAGUUGUUGAAUCAUCAUAACCAAUCUUCUAUAUAUGCAUCAGAGAAUCAGAGAUCUCAAGGUAUAAUUCAAAGAAUCAGAGAUCACACUGGAUACUUAAUUUCUAUCUAUACAAAAGUGGUAGUUGGUGUUAGACGCUUCCCUGCCGAUGCGGAAGAGCUCGAUGAGGUUGUAGAACUGGCCGUGGAUGUCACCACACAUAGUGACGGGGCAACGCACGGGCUGUACGUUCCACUCCUC